UCCGUAGGUGAACCUGCGGAGGGAUCAUUACCGAGUUUACAACUCCCAAACCCAAUGUGAACGUUACCAAACUGUUGCCUCGGCGGGAUCUCUGCCCCGGGCGCGUCGCAGCCCCGGACCAAGGCGCCCGCCGGAGGACCAACCAAAACUCUUAUUGUAUACCCCCUCGCGGGUUUUUUACUAUCUGAGCCAUCUCGGCGCCCCUCGUGGGCGUUUCGAAAAUGAAUCAAAACUUUCAACAACGGAUCUCUUGGUUCUGGCAUCGAUGAAGAACGCAGCGAAAUGCGAUAAGUAAUGUGAAUUGCAGAAUCCAGUGAAUCAUCGAAUCUUUGAACGUACAUUGCGCCCGCCAGUAUUCUGGCGGGCAUGCCUGUCCGAGCGUCAUUUCAACCCUCGAACCCCUCCGGGGGGUCGGCGUUGGGGAUCGGCCCUUUACGGGGCCGGCCCCGAAAUACAGUGGCGGUCUCGCCGCAGCCUCUCCUGCGCAGUAGUUUGCACACUCGCAUCGGGAGCGCGGCGCGUCCACAGCCGUUAAACACCCCAAACUUCUGAAAUGUUGACCUCGGAUCAGGUAGGAAUACCCGCUGAACUUAAGCAUAUCAAUAAGCGGAGGA
This 614-nucleotide ribosomal RNA is filed under the name Trichoderma virens. RNAcentral describes it as "eukaryotic LSU rRNA". The stretch from base 231 to 384 matches the Rfam family "5.8S ribosomal RNA". The record is from RNAcentral. Lineage: Eukaryota; Fungi; Ascomycota; Sordariomycetes; Hypocreales; Hypocreaceae.